ACUCAAAUGAAUUGACGGGGGCCCGCACAAGCGGAGGAACAUGUGGUUUAAUUCGAUGAUACGCGAGGAACCUUACCUGGGCUUAAAUGGGGAACGACAGCUGCCGAAAGGUGGCCUUCUUCGGACGUUCUUCAAGGUGCUGCAUGGUUGUCGUCAGCUCGUGCCGUGAGGUGUCGGGUUAAGUCCCAUAACGAGCGCAACCCUUAUCGUUAGUUGCCAGCGGGUCAUGCCGGGGACUCUAGCGAGACUGCCACCGUAAGGUGUGAGGAAGGUGGGGAUGACGUCAAAUCAGCACGGCCCUUAUGUCCAGGGCUACACACGUGUUACAAUGGCCAAUACAAAGGGCAGCUACCGGGUGACCGGAUGCUAAUCUCUAAAGUUGGUCUCAGUUCGGAUCGAAGUCUGCAACCCGACUUCGUGAAGCUGGAUUCGCUAGUAAUCGCAUAUCAGCCAUGAUGCGGUGAAUACGUUCCCGGGCCUUGUACACACCGCCCGU
This 496-nucleotide ribosomal RNA is filed under the name uncultured bacterium. Its description in RNAcentral is "partial 16S ribosomal RNA". It matches the Rfam family "Bacterial small subunit ribosomal RNA", at positions 899 to 1397 of the family's 1533-position model. The record is from RNAcentral.